Molecule: ribosomal RNA, 253 nt
Filed under: uncultured bacterium
Lineage: Bacteria
Description: partial 16S ribosomal RNA
Rfam family: Bacterial small subunit ribosomal RNA
Source: RNAcentral
UACGUAGGGUGCUAGUGUUGUUCGGAAUCAUUGGGCGUAAAGCGCGUGUAGGCGGUCAACUAAGUCGGGUGUGAAAUCCCUGGGCUCAACCGAGGAAGUGCACUCGAAACUGGUUGGCUGGAAGACGGUAGAGGAAGGUGGAAUUCCUAGUGUAGAGGUGAAAUUCGUAGAUAUUAGGAGGAAUACCGGUGGCGAAGGCGGCCUUCUGGACUGUUCUUGACGCUGAGACGCGAAAGCGUGGGUAGCAAACAGG